Long non-coding RNA from Osmia lignaria (orchard mason bee), 778 nucleotides. RefSeq lists it as uncharacterized. NCBI's taxonomy places the organism in Eukaryota, Metazoa, Arthropoda, Insecta, Hymenoptera, Megachilidae. The record is from RefSeq and is a predicted model, not a curated record.
AAGGUAAACAUGUCACUCCACAAGUGAUCAACAUUCUGCACGUCGAACACAUUUUCCCGAACUGUUUCUAAUCAGUCCAUCGACGCAUCUGCAGCCUCUUACACAUUCCUGUAACACAAAUUAUUACAAGGUAGUAACUGUUCAGGCUCGUUAAACUGACCAGAUCUUCAACAUGGAAACCACAUCGAAAGACGUUCCUCUAUCUUCAGCUGCGAUGCACACAGCUACCCUACCGGUACAUCUAUACGAGUCAUUCGAAUGACCAUAAUAAAUAUUUCGAAUCGACUAAUCAACGGCUUGGUGCAGAGUUCGGAUAAAAGAUACCGUUCUAAUUGGGCAGUAUCUGGGAGCAUUACAUCCGUUAAACGGAUCACACUCGGGAAUGUUUUAUUCGUUGACUGGCUGUGAUUACCGUCGAUAGCCAGGAGGGCCAGAUGUUCGAGCGGCGAUGACGGGGUGCGACAUUCUCAUGGACUUCAAAAGGGUGCUCGAUGGUUCCGCGGAGCAUCCAAGAGGAAAAGCGUAAAGUAGAUGAGAGGAGGAGAAGAAAGAAGUAGCAAUCCAUACUGUCGCGACUGCUGGAGAGACCAUUAAGCCAACAGGAGUGUCCUUUCCGUCGGAAGUCCUGGAAAGUGGACACUUGGGGUGUGUACAUACGUGCAGGACGCGGAACAGGAUGGGACAAACAAGGUGGUUUCACGAUGAAAUCCGAAGCGCAUUACGAGACGAGAAACAGAUUUCGACAUUUUGGGAAGGAGACACCUCGCAUUUCCUUAUU